CUGAAACAUCUAAGUACCCCGAGGAAAAGAAAUCAACCGAGAUUCCCCCAGUAGCGGCGAGCGAACGGGGAGGAGCCCAGAGCCUGAAUCAGCAUGUGUGUUAGUGGAAGCGUCUGGAAAGGCGCGCGAUACAGGGUGACAGCCCCGUACACAAAAGCGCAUGUGCUGUGAGCUCGAUGAGUAGGGCGGGACACGUGGUAUCCUGUCUGAAUAUGGGGGGACCAUCCUCCAAGGCUAAAUACUCCUGACUGACCGAUAGUGAACCAGUACCGUGAGGGAAAGGCGAAAAGAACCCCGGCGAGGGGAGUGAAACAGAACCUGAAACCGUGUACGUACAAGCAGUGGGAGCACAGGUUUACCUGUGUGACUGCGUACCUUUUGUAUAAUGGGUCAGCGACUUAUAUUCUGUAGCA
This 413-nucleotide ribosomal RNA is filed under the name Salmonella enterica subsp. salamae. Its description in RNAcentral is "partial 23S ribosomal RNA". It matches the Rfam family "Bacterial large subunit ribosomal RNA", at positions 193 to 642 of the family's 2925-position model. Lineage: Bacteria; Pseudomonadati; Pseudomonadota; Gammaproteobacteria; Enterobacterales; Enterobacteriaceae. The record is from RNAcentral.